This is a microRNA precursor of Leersia perrieri, 205 nucleotides long. It matches the Rfam family "MIR812 microRNA precursor family". The record is from Rfam. NCBI's taxonomy places the organism in Eukaryota, Viridiplantae, Streptophyta, Magnoliopsida, Poales, Poaceae.
UAUAUUUGACACCGUUGACUUUUCUACAAAAGUUUGACCAUUCGUCUUAUUCAAAAAAUUUAUGCAAAUAUUAUUUAUUUUGUUAUGAAUUGGUUUAUCACUAAAGAAAUUUUAAGCCUAUCUUUUAUUUUCUUAUAUUUGCACAAAUUUUUUGAAUAAGACGAAUGGUUAAACUUUUGUAGAAAAGUCAACGGUGUCAAAUAUA